This is a long non-coding RNA of Cygnus atratus (black swan), 3070 nucleotides long. RefSeq lists it as uncharacterized. The transcript is spliced from 3 exons. The record is from RefSeq and is a predicted model, not a curated record. Lineage: Eukaryota; Metazoa; Chordata; Aves; Anseriformes; Anatidae.
UAGCUAAUGUGACAGUGAGCUGUAAAAGUCUCCUUCCAAAACAGACCAAGGAGAGAGGAGCCAUCAGUCCUGCGUGGCCUUCUGCACUGCGGGAAGUAGGGCAUUUUAUUACAGAACGGCAGGUUGUCACAAAAGCUGAUGCUACAGUCACUUCUUAGCUUGGCAGUUACAGAGUUAAUUUUCUGGGACAGUAUUUUCCCAGGUGGAAAGGCAGCAGAGAAGAGAAGUAUACCUGGGAGAAGAGGUAUUGGGUGGUUGCAUAAAUGCUUCGAUUGGAGCCAGGUAUUCUUGUCAGGAAGUUUGCUGGAUGGCAAAACCGCCUCUCCUACGCUAUCAUUUUGUGGUAAAGAAGGUUGUGUUUGGAUCACGUUCUAAAUAGGCAAAGAUUUGUUUACUAGUUUCAACUAUAAAACCCAGAAGAUUUCUGAUCCCCACUGAAGAAGAGCACAUGUAUGAAACUGUGUAACUUCGCAGUCAACUGUGAAGAGGUGUAACACAAUAAUACCAAGCCAUAAUUGAGAUGCAUUGGAUGUUUAUCAUGACUAUACUGACAAGAAUUUGAUCACCCAGUGCCAUUUAACAGACUGUCUCCCGGAAGUUUGUCCUGCUUUCUAGGUUGUGUUAAUGGUCUGACAGAAGUUCAAAACUUACUGCACAUCUUGUUGGCAAAAAACAAAGGAAACAAAAUGCCCCAAACCAAAACUGUAACAUGCAAAUAGAUACUUCAUCAAUGUAUUCUUUAAAAGAGGAGUUAUCAGUAUGCUUUGUAUUUUUAAAGGAGGUAAAAUAGAACCACUAACAGGACACCCGGGUGUUGUGUCUCAGCUAAACAAUAUGCCUUCAAAAACAUGCUUCUACUUUCACAGUGUUUCUUAUUCACGGCUGACAGAUCAGAGUAGACAUACCUGUUGAUGCUGACCUGCGUGAUAACAUCCCUGUGAAGUUCAUUGGCUAACGACGUGCCAGCAAACCAAGGUGCACUUCGAAUAUAAAGUCGGCAGGGAAUUAACUGGGGCUUUGAUCCCUUUGCCAUCUGGUGGUACUGAACUUAGCAUUCCCUGAGGGGUGGGGAAGGAGUAUUGCUCCUUUUGCAGUAUUUUGCCUACUGGAGAAAGAUAAAGUUGAUUGAAUGGAAUGCUUAAAAAUCAUUGCCACAUCUGAAAGUAUUAUAAGGAGGAAGAUAUUUGUAAAGAUGGAAAGAAGUUGCCAUAAUGUAGUCAAAGCACAAGUAAACUGAGAGAAAAGGCUGUCAGAGAAUGAAGUCAGUCUUCAUCAUUGAUAAAUAUUGGCUUCAUCAAGUGCAGUGCAGGAUGCAACAUCUCCAAGGCAGAAUUUUUUUAAUACUUUCUUUGACAUCACAAGGAGCUGUUGUAUUCCACACUACAUCAAAUAUAUGUUUUCCAGCAGACUUUAUUAACUUAUUAAAUCAGCAAGAAGAAAUAGCCACUUUGUUCUAUUUAAUUUAAAACAAUAAAACUAAAUAAUAAAAGUGUGGCUUCAUAAUGUAGUCUCAUGUUAGAUAAGAAGGUCCUUUAUUCAAUAUUAGAAUUUCUUUCAGUGUUAAUGGAGUUUUCUUUACAUCCAUAUGUUUAAGUACGUGACACAACAUAGGGGCCUAUAUGUUUGAUAGCAUGUGCCGUAUAAUUAAAUGUGAAAAGUCUUUGUUGAUGCAACUAAUAAGGUUCUGAAUUUAAAUGCACACAAGUCUAUAAAGUGAAACUUAUACAAAAUUAAAGAAAAAAGGAAACACGAUUAUUUAGGUUGCAUAUAUUGUAUGUGAAGGUAUGAUAACUUUGAUAAGAACAUCAAGCUUUUAUUUUCAUAGAUUCAUAGAGCUUAAAGCCCUGCCUACCCUGUUGUGUACUACAGCCAUAGACUUUUUCCAGACAACUUCUAUAUUAGAUUCAUGAUGUCCAUGUUGGGGAAAUGUAAAUUUAUGAAUUUAUAAAUGAGAAUUUGUAAAUUUAAUGAAGGUCUGAGUAGUCUAUUGAGCAUGUCACCCUAAGAUAAUGUUGAAAACAGAAUUUAAAGAAUGGGGUGACAUGAGGAGUGAUAAGAAUAUCCAGAACUAGUAAUUUUAAAUCCUUGGCUUCACAAUCUAACCUGUCCCCUAACUAACUGAGGUUUCUCUGUCAGCCGGUCACUUCACUGGUGUACCUGAGAGAAUUUCUUGCACUUUCCUUCCAAGUCACCGACACUAGCUGGACUUGGACAGAAAAAAAUUGUUUGAAGAAGUGAUAUGGGUCUGAUCUGGCAGUUGCUUUGAUAUUAUGCUAUAUAUAUCUGGAAGAAUUACAUCAAUUUUUAAAUCCUGUUCUUGAUUUAUUUCAUAUGCAAUGAUACUGAUAGCCUAGAAAUCCCUCCAAAAGUACUUGGAGCUUAGCUGAAACACAGGGAUGAAUGGCAUGAGGGAGGGUUAUGCGAGUCAAAGCCUGAGUUUGGACCAUCAAAAAAGCCUGUGAUUAAAAACAAAAAAAAAAAAGGGACUUGACUAUCUGUUUGAUUUUUGACACCAUAUCCUAGAAGUUAGUGAAGUCCCAGUCCUUCCUAUUGAAAUAUCAACUCCUAUAGCUUGAGAAAGCGUCUAGAAUUAUAUACAAGUGGCUUGGCUCUUCUGAAAAGAGAAGACCUACCUCAUAAUUCUCAUUUCUUGAAUUCAUGUUAAAGCCAACAGGAGCUCUGGAUACCUGGUGCCAUGUCAAGGAAGUGCUCAGUUUGCCCACUGCAACUCUGAGCUCAGACUCUUGGGUUGUAAAUAUGGAGGAACUUGUCAAAUAUCUUGUUUCGGAGCGUGAAUGUGUUUGUUACUCUCAAGUCUGUGACAGAUUUGGAAUAGCAAUUUUUUGAACUGACAAAAGCUUUCAAGAGCACCAACAGUAACAGCGUGUCAGUUUUAACAGUGAAUUUGGUGUCUUCUGUCAAUUUGUGAAACCCCUGUUAUGUUAUUUUAAAUGUUUCUACGUUAUUUUAGGUGUUUAUUUUUGCAUUUGAUAUAAAUGUCUUGAAAAUAUUUGGAGGCUACAGUUCCAGCUUUUUGAUUUGUGCUCAUGCUUUACUUAAUCCACCUGUU